UACGUAGGGGGCAAGCGUUGUCCGGAUUCAUUGGGCGUAAAGAGCUCGUAGGCGGCUUGGCAAGUCGGGUGUGAAACCUCCAGGCUCAACCUGGAGACGCCACCCGAUACUGCCAUGGCUAGAGUCCGGUAGGGGACCACGGAAUUCCUGGUGUAGCGGUGAAAUGCGCAGAUAUCGGGAGGAACACCGGUGGCGAAGGCGGUUCUCUGGGCCUUACCUGACGCUGAGGAGCGAAAGCGUGGGGAGCGAACAGG
Molecule: ribosomal RNA, 254 nt
Filed under: uncultured bacterium
Lineage: Bacteria
Description: partial 16S ribosomal RNA
Rfam family: Bacterial small subunit ribosomal RNA
Source: RNAcentral